Molecule: long non-coding RNA, 642 nt
Organism: Dioscorea cayenensis subsp. rotundata (Guinea yam)
Lineage: Eukaryota; Viridiplantae; Streptophyta; Magnoliopsida; Dioscoreales; Dioscoreaceae
Exons: 3
Source: RefSeq, a predicted model, not a curated record
CAGCAACCCCUCCUCCUCCGGCCAUCUUCGCAGUUUCCCCUCUCUUUUCAAGCCUAUCAAAUACUAUCUUAUGGCUGGUGAAGGUGUGGCAAGUGAAGGAAGACAUGAAAGUAGGGCAAAGUGGAAUGAAAUUCACAAGGCUCACCUAGUAAAGUUAUUGGGUGAGUAUAAUACUCCUGCAUACCGUUCACAAAAUGGAUGGACCAAAGAAGCAUGGAACAAGAUGGUACGUGACAUGAUAACCAAGUUUUCUAAUCUAAGCAUCACCACAAGCCAAAUCAAAGCAUUAGAACAAGAAUUGAAAAAAACCUACAAGCUUCUAAAAGGGUUUUCUGAAUUAAGUGGCUUUGGAUGGGAUUAUGAAAGACACAUUGUAUCGGCUCCUGAUGAUGUUUGGGCACCACUACUAGAGGUAUGUACAUAAAUAAUGAAUGAUUUCAUUAAUUACAACCAUCUAAUUUGGAAAAAUCAAACAGAGGAAUAAGGAUGCAAGGAAGUGGCAUAGUAGACCGUUUCCAUAGUUUACAGCUUUGCAGGAGGUUUAUGAGGGGAGAUAUGCUGAAGGCAAACGAUCUCGUGGUAUAGAAGAUUAUGAAGAUAUUUCUCAAUCACCAGUGCACACCCCAAGUCCAAGUGUUUUUA